UACGUAGGGUGCAAGCGUUGUCCGGAAUUACUGGGCGUAAAGCGUGCGCAGGCGGUUUUGUAAGCCAGAUGUGAAAUCCCCGGGCUUAACCUGGGAAUGGCAUUUGGGACUGCAAGGCUUGAGUGUGGCAGAGGAGACUGGAAUUCCUGGUGUAGCAGUGAAAUGCGUAGAUAUCAGGAGGAACACCGAUGGCGAAGGCAGGUCUCUGGGCUAACACUGACGCUCAUGCACGAAAGCGUGGGGAGCAAACAGG
This 253-nucleotide ribosomal RNA is filed under the name uncultured bacterium. RNAcentral describes it as "partial 16S ribosomal RNA". It matches the Rfam family "Bacterial small subunit ribosomal RNA", at positions 524 to 776 of the family's 1533-position model. The record is from RNAcentral.